ACUCCUACGGGAGGCAGCAGUGGGAAGUAUUGCACAAUGGGCGCAGCCAUGACUGCAGCCAUGCCGCGCUGUGUGAAGAAGGCCAAUUCGGGCUUGGUUAAGACACUUUCAGUCGUGAGGAAGGUAGUGUAGUUAAUAGCUGCAUUAUUUGACGUUAGCGACAGAAGAAGCACCGGCUAACUCCGUGCCAGCAGCCGCGGUAAUACGGAGGGUGCGAGCGUUAAUCGGAAUUACUGGGCGUAAAGCGCAUGCAGGUGGUUUGUUAAGUCAGAUGUGAAAGCCCGGGCUC
Molecule: ribosomal RNA, 289 nt
Filed under: uncultured bacterium
Lineage: Bacteria
Description: partial 16S ribosomal RNA
Rfam family: Bacterial small subunit ribosomal RNA
Source: RNAcentral